AGCUGUUUGGUGAGGAGUGCAGAGAGGCUCUCUCUAUAAUAAGACACUCUACAGAUAAAUCUGUGAUUAAAGAGAAGAUGAGAGCCACCUUUGAGUACAGACAGAAGCUGAUUCAUGACCAAGAUGCAACAUUGUCAGUCUUUGAAGUCUUCCCUCGUUUCCUUGACACGCCAGAGUUGAUCGACCAGGACUUUUCCAUGAUGUUUGGGGAUGAAGUAUCAGGAAGGUUUCUGGCAAAGUGGCCAUCCUAUUUCAAGAACAAAGUGAUUGCUGCAAGCCAGCGUCUUCCAUCGAGUUCCUACCUAGAGGAGUUACUGGCAUCUAUGGACCCCAAAGCUGAGAAUUACUUUGGUUGGGACAGUGAUAUAUCAGCUCUUCUGCUGCUGCUGCAUCUCUUGCCUCCUACAUCCAAAGGCCACAAGAAAUCAGCCAAAAUCAGCUCAGCACAGGCAGCCCACCGUCUUGUAAGAUUUGUAAAGGUGUGUUC
This is a non-coding RNA of Oryzias latipes (Japanese medaka), 487 nucleotides long. NCBI's taxonomy places the organism in Eukaryota, Metazoa, Chordata, Actinopteri, Beloniformes, Adrianichthyidae. The record is from RefSeq and is a predicted model, not a curated record.